AGAAGGCCACAACCUCUAUCCGCCCGGGAACUACGAGCAUAAGCUUAAAACCCAAAGGACUUGGCGGUGCUUUAGACCCCCCUAGAGGAGCCUGUUCUAGAACCGAUAAUCCCCGUUCAACCUCACCUUUUCUUGCUCGUCCCGCCUAUAUACCGCCGUCGUCAGCCUACCCUGUGAAGGAACCAAAGUAGGCAAAAUUGGUAAAGCCCAAAACGUCAGGUCGAGGUGUAGCAUACGAAAAGGAAAGAAAUGGGCUACAUUUCCUCUAUCAGGAAACACGAAUUGUGCUAUGAAACAACACAUGAAGGAGGAUUUAGCAGUAAGCAGAAAUCAGAGCGUUC
This 341-nucleotide ribosomal RNA is filed under the name Priapichthys annectens. Its description in RNAcentral is "partial 12S ribosomal RNA". It matches the Rfam family "Bacterial small subunit ribosomal RNA", at positions 875 to 1359 of the family's 1533-position model. Lineage: Eukaryota; Metazoa; Chordata; Actinopteri; Cyprinodontiformes; Poeciliidae. The record is from RNAcentral.